This 526-nucleotide ribosomal RNA is filed under the name uncultured bacterium. RNAcentral's name for it is "bacterial SSU rRNA". It matches the Rfam family "Bacterial small subunit ribosomal RNA", at positions 984 to 1509 of the family's 1533-position model. The record is from RNAcentral.
ACAUCCAGCGAAUUCGGUAGAGAUACCUUAGUGCCUUCGGGAACGCGUGAGACAGGUGCUGCAUGGCUGUCGUCAGCUCGUGUUGUGAAAUGUUGGGUUAAGUCCCGCAACGAGCGCAACCCUUAUCCUUUGUUGCCAGCGGUCCGGCCGGGAACUCAAAGGAGACUGCCAGUGAUAAACUGGAGGAAGGUGGGGAUGACGUCAAGUCAUCAUGGCCCUUACGAGUAGGGCUACACACGUGCUACAAUGGCGCAUACAAAGAGAAGCGACCUCGCGAGAGCAAGCGGACCUCAUAAAGUGCGUCGUAGUCCGGAUUGGAGUCUGCAACUCGACUCCAUGAAGUCGGAAUCGCUAGUAAUCGUAGAUCAGAAUGCUACGGUGAAUACGUUCCCGGGCCUUGUACACACCGCCCGUCACACCAUGGGAGUGGGUUGCAAAAGAAGUAGGUAGCUUAACCUUCGGGAGGGCGCUUACCACUUUGUGAUUCAUGACUGGGGUGAAGUCGUAACAAGGUAGGCGUAGAUGA